This 573-nucleotide ribosomal RNA is filed under the name uncultured Bacillota bacterium. RNAcentral's name for it is "bacterial SSU rRNA". It matches the Rfam family "Bacterial small subunit ribosomal RNA", at positions 351 to 916 of the family's 1533-position model. The record is from RNAcentral. Lineage: Bacteria; Bacillati; Bacillota.
GCAGUAGGGAAUCUUCCGCAAUGGGUGAGAGCCUGACGGAGCAACGCCGCGUGAAUGAAGAAGGCCUUCGGGUUGUAAAGUUCUGUCCUUGGGGAAGAACGGUAGAUACAGGCAAUGGUAUUUACGUGACGGUACCUGAGGAGGAAGCCCUGGCUAACUACGUGCCAGCAGCCGCGGUAAUACGUAGAGGGCAAGCGUUGUCCGGAAUCAUUGGGCGUAAAGGGUACGCAGGUGGAUAUGCAAGUCAAAUGUGAAAGGUACCGGCCCAACCGGUAGAGUGCAUUUGAAACUGUAUAUCUUGAGUACAGCAGAGGAGAACGGAAUUCCUGGAGUAGCGGUGGAAUGCGUAGAUAUCAGGAAGAACACCAGUGGCGUAAGCGGUUCUCUGGGCUGUAACUGACGCUGAGGUACGAAAGCUGGGGUAGCGAACGGGAUUAGAUACCCCGGUAGUCCCAGCUGUAAACGAUGGACACUAGGUGUUGGGGGUUCGAUUCCCUCAGUGCCGCAGUUAACGCAUUAAGUGUCCCGCCUGGGGAUUACGGUCGCAAGACUGAAACUCAAAGGAAUUGACGG